This 253-nucleotide ribosomal RNA is filed under the name uncultured bacterium. Its description in RNAcentral is "partial 16S ribosomal RNA". It matches the Rfam family "Bacterial small subunit ribosomal RNA", at positions 524 to 776 of the family's 1533-position model. The record is from RNAcentral.
UACGUAGGGUGCAAGCGUUAAUCGGAAUUACUGGGCGUAAAGGGCGCGUAGGCGGUUCGCUAAGUUGGAUGUGAAAACUCUGGGCUCAACCCAGAGCCUGCAUCCAAAACUGGCGGGCUAGAGUUCUGGAGGGGGUAGCGGAAUUCCUGGUGUAGCGGUGAAAUGCGUAGAUAUCAGGAGGAACACCGGUGGCGAAGGCGGCUACCUGGACAGAAACUGACGCUGAGGCGCGAAAGCUAGGGGAGCAAACAGG